This 210-nucleotide ribosomal RNA is filed under the name uncultured Cellulomonas sp. RNAcentral's name for it is "partial 16S ribosomal RNA". It matches the Rfam family "Bacterial small subunit ribosomal RNA", at positions 1174 to 1382 of the family's 1533-position model. The record is from RNAcentral. Lineage: Bacteria; Bacillati; Actinomycetota; Actinomycetes; Micrococcales; Cellulomonadaceae.
UGGGGAUGACGUCAAAUCAUCAUGCCCCUUAUGUCUUGGGCUUCACGCAUGCUACAAUGGCCGGUACAAAGGGCUGCGAUACCGCGAGGUGGAGCGAAUCCCAGAAAGCCGGUCUCAGUUCGGAUUGGGGUCUGCAACUCGACCCCAUGAAGUCGGAGUCGCUAGUAAUCGCAGAUCAGCAACGCUGCGGUGAAUACGUUCCCGGGCCUU